RNAcentral lists this ribosomal RNA (431 nucleotides) under Marinobacter nauticus. Its description in RNAcentral is "bacterial SSU rRNA". It matches the Rfam family "Bacterial small subunit ribosomal RNA", at positions 83 to 510 of the family's 1533-position model. Lineage: Bacteria; Pseudomonadati; Pseudomonadota; Gammaproteobacteria; Pseudomonadales; Marinobacteraceae. The record is from RNAcentral.
UCCCGCUGACGAGCGGCGGACGGGUGAGUAAUGCUUAGGAAUCUGCCCAGUAGUGGGGGAUAGCCCGGGGAAACCCGGAUUAAUACCGCAUACGUCCUACGGGAGAAAGCAGGGGAUCUUCGGACCUUGCGCUAUUGGAUGAGCCUAAGUCGGAUUAGCUAGUUGGUGGGGUAAAGGCCUACCAAGGCGACGAUCCGUAGCUGGUCUGAGAGGAUGAUCAGCCACAUCGGGACUGAGACACGGCCCGAACUCCUACGGGAGGCAGCAGUGGGGAAUAUUGGACAAUGGGGGCAACCCUGAUCCAGCCAUGCCGCGUGUGUGAAGAAGGCUUUCGGGUUGUAAAGCACUUUCAGUAGGGAGGAAAACCUUAUGGUUAAUACCCAUGAGGCUUGACGUUACCUACAGAAGAAGCACCGGCUAACUCCGUGCCA